RNAcentral lists this ribosomal RNA (544 nucleotides) under Monocalenia monospora. Its description in RNAcentral is "LSU rRNA". It matches the Rfam family "Eukaryotic large subunit ribosomal RNA", at positions 78 to 634 of the family's 3401-position model. The record is from RNAcentral. Lineage: Eukaryota; Fungi; Ascomycota; Lecanoromycetes; Ostropales; Graphidaceae.
CCCUANUAACGGCGAGUGAAGCGGCAAAAGCUCAGAUUUGAAAUCUCUUUAUUUCAUAAAGCGAAUUGUAAUCUGUAGAAGGUUGAAUGGCUGAACGUCUGAUUUAAGUUCCCUGGAAUAGGACAUCAUAGAGGGUGAGAAUCCCGUGAUUAUCAGAAGCUACGCCAANAGAUUCACCUUUCGACGAGUCGAGUUGUUUGGGAAUGCAGCUCUAAAUGGGUGGUAAAUUUCAUCUAAAGCUAAAUACCUGCCAGAGACCGAUAGCGAACAAGUAGAGUGAUCGAAAGAUGAAAAGCACUUUGAAAAGAGAGUUAAAAAGUACGUGAAAUUGUUGAAAGGGAAGCGCUUGCCAUUAGACUUGAUUUUUGGAUUCAGCCUGCUCAUGGGCAGGUGUAUUUUCCAAUUUAUCAGGCCAGCAUCAGUUUGGGGGGAUUUAUAAAGGUAGUUGGAAUGUAGUAACCACUUCGGUGGUUAUGUUAUAGCCUUCUGCAUCAUACAUUCACCCUGGACUGAGGUCUGCUCUUCGGAAAGGAUGCGGCAUAAU